This 374-nucleotide ribosomal RNA is filed under the name uncultured bacterium. RNAcentral describes it as "bacterial SSU rRNA". It matches the Rfam family "Bacterial small subunit ribosomal RNA", at positions 524 to 898 of the family's 1533-position model. The record is from RNAcentral.
UACGAAGGGGGCUAGCGUUGUUCGGAAUUACUGGGCGUAAAGCGCACGUAGGCGGCUUUCCAAGUUGGAGGUGAAAUCCCUGGGCUUAACCUAGGAACUGCCUCCAAGACUGGGAAGCUCGAGUCCGAGAGAGGUGAGUGGAAUUUCCAGUGUAGAGGUGAAAUUCGUAGAUAUUGGAAAGAACACCAGUGGCGAAGGCGGCUCACUGGCUCGGUACUGACGCUGAGGUGCGACAGCGUGGGGAGCAAACAGGAUUAGAUACCCUGGUAGUCCACGCCGUAAACGAUGGGUGCUAGUUGUCAGGCAGCUUGCUGCUUGGUGACGCAGCUAACGCAUUAAGCACCCCGCCUGGGGAGUACGGUCGCAAGAUUAAA